Molecule: non-coding RNA, 557 nt
Filed under: Pongo abelii (Sumatran orangutan)
Lineage: Eukaryota; Metazoa; Chordata; Mammalia; Primates; Hominidae
Source: RNAcentral
AGUGGCCUCGCAGCUGGGGCAAGGGGGCAUCCCCGGCGCCGGGGAGCCGCAAGCGGAGCGAGCGCCCGGGACGCACCUGAGCCUCCAGCACUCCCCGCGGCCGCGGAAACAUUUUCCUGGGCAUCUAAAUCUAUUGUGGACCUGAGGCACUGUGCUUACAGGGCCUACUGGUUUUCACUGUAUGAGACCGAGAAUGGAUUAUGGCAGUUCCUCUUACCUCCGCUGCGUACUUGACUCCAUCCACGGUGUGCUCAGAGCCAUGAUCAUCCGAAGAGCCCCAGUGAAGAUGAAACUGGCGAAGUCGGUAAGGUCCAGGGAGAGGACCCCCUCUCAGCACUGUGAUUCAGAUAAGCUUGGUCAACAGUGAAUUCAUGCUUCUUUUACAGAGCCCUACUUUAAUCAAGUGCUCUUAGAGCCAAGGCUUAAUGGACAAAAUGUGGUCAGUUUGCUGGUGGAUGGUGCCACUCCCAGGACACUGGACUCCUCACAAAAUGAAGUCUGGGGAUAUGUCAAGAUAAAUGAUUGUUCUUUUCUGUCUUUCUUAUUUUGUUUGCUUG